RNAcentral lists this ribosomal RNA (355 nucleotides) under uncultured bacterium. RNAcentral's name for it is "bacterial SSU rRNA". It matches the Rfam family "Bacterial small subunit ribosomal RNA", at positions 446 to 793 of the family's 1533-position model. The record is from RNAcentral.
UGUAGUUUAACACCUGCAUUAUUUGACGUUACCUACAGAAGAAGCACCGGCUAACUCCGUGCCAGCAGCCGCGGUAAUACGGAGGGUGCGAGCGUUAAUCGGAAUUACUGGGCGUAAAGCGCAUGCAGGCGGCCUGUUUAAGUCAGAUGUGAAAGACCCGGGGCGUUAACCUUCGGAAUUGCAUUUGUAAACUAGGCAGGCUAGAGUCUUGUAGAGGGGGGUAGGAAUUUCAGGUGUAGCGGUGAGAUGCGUAGAGAUCUGAAGGAAUACCAGUGGCGAAGGCGGCCCCCUGGACAAAGACUGACGCUCAGAUGCGAAAGCGUGGGGAGCAAACAGGAUUAGAUACCCCUGGUAG